This 268-nucleotide ribosomal RNA is filed under the name uncultured Staphylococcus sp. RNAcentral's name for it is "partial 16S ribosomal RNA". It matches the Rfam family "Bacterial small subunit ribosomal RNA", at positions 96 to 355 of the family's 1533-position model. Lineage: Bacteria; Bacillati; Bacillota; Bacilli; Caryophanales; Staphylococcaceae. The record is from RNAcentral.
CGGCGGACGGGUGAGUAACACGUGGGUAACCUACCUAUAAGACUGGGACAACUUCGGGAAACCGGAGCUAAUACCGGAUAAGAUAUCGAACCGCAUGGUUCGAUAGUGAAAGAUGGUUUUGCUUAUCACUUAUAGAUGGACCCGNGCCGUAUUAGCUAGUUGGUGAGGGUAACGGCUCACCAAGGCAACGAUACGUAGCCGACCUGAGAGGGUGAUCGGCCACACUGGAACUGAGACACGGUCCAGACUCCUACGGGAGGCAGCAGCC